Acanthosepion pharaonis is the source of this 112-nucleotide non-coding RNA. Lineage: Eukaryota; Metazoa; Mollusca; Cephalopoda; Sepiida; Sepiidae. The record is from the annotation of a GenBank genome assembly.
ACAACCAUAUCACUUUGAAACACAGGUUCCUGUAUGAUCACCAAAGUUAAGUAACUUUGAGCCUUGUCAGCACCUAGAUGGGUGACCACUUGGGAAUACCAGGGGCUGUAAG